GCGAUGAUGGUGUAAUGGUCAGCAUAGUUGCCUUCCAAGCAGUUGAUCCGGGUUCGAUUCCCGGUCAUCGCA
This is a non-coding RNA of Dendroctonus ponderosae (mountain pine beetle), 72 nucleotides long. The record is from Rfam. Lineage: Eukaryota; Metazoa; Arthropoda; Insecta; Coleoptera; Curculionidae.